UUAAUUGAAACCAAAAAGCGGUACAUUAUUGUUAAUAAUCCAAUUGAUCCAUUACCUGAUCCAAUUAAA
RNAcentral lists this transfer RNA (69 nucleotides) under Eurytoma sp. ZJUH_2016013. Its description in RNAcentral is "tRNA-Asn". The record is from RNAcentral. Lineage: Eukaryota; Metazoa; Arthropoda; Insecta; Hymenoptera; Eurytomidae.